CUAAAAUCAAUCGAGCUCUCUCUUCUUUCUCUUUCCCAAACCCUAAAUAAAUAAAAGGAUUAGGUCUUUUGGCGUGACAUUUGAGAUAAAUGGCCCAGAGUUCUUCAUUCUCUUUGAUACAGUAAACACAAAAUUAUCAAUCUUUAAAUUCCACCAUUCACUCAAACAUCAACACCGAAAUAGGAAAACAGUAUAGGCUGAACUCCUCGCGGCGGCGGCAGAUCGUGAUUGGUGCUAUGGGUCACGAGCAGCUGACAGCGGUGGUGUGGGGAUGGCCGAGAAUGGAUCGAAGUAGGAUGCGUCAACGUCGGAGAAGGGGCUUCGCCGGAUCUAAACCAGAGCGGUGCUGGCCGUGUGAUGGGGUGAGAACGAGUUGCGAUUCAAUAGUGGUGAAUCGUUGUUCGCUGAAGGUGAUGUCGCUGGAGUUCGGUUGCGAAAUUGCUGAAGGUCGUCGCGGCGGAUACAGGAGGGAGUGAUGGCUGUUCCGGCGUGGUGUUGGAGCCGUGGAUACUGUUGCAGUUAGAUGAAGAUUUGCAGAGAGCCAGAUGUAUUGUUGUUGAUGGUGAUGCUUCUUCGCUUCUUCUAGGACAUGCUCACGGGAAGUUUCUGAGGAUGUUUUUGGGUCCUAUUAAUGUUCGUGCAUCUCGUAAGGAUGUGCAGCUUAAGGAUUACAAGUAUGUGAGGAUACUUGGUGCUUUUUAUUUGCAACUUACUGGAUCUGAUACUGAUGUGUACCAUUAUCUGGAACCAUUCUAUAAUGAUUAUAGAAAACUGAGGCGAAAGUUAGCUGAUGGACGUAAGUUUUUGAAUGUUAUUGUGACCUAAAAAUUAUGAUUGUGUUUUGUAUUCUACUUGCAAUGUAAUUAUCUAUUACCUAUUUGUUAAGGUUUUGUGUUGCUCUUGAUUUUGCAUAGUUUAGUUUAACGCAUGUUGACGAGGUCAUUGAUGAACUUCUCACAACAGAUUAUACAUGUGAUAUUGCUAUGUCGCGCAUCAAGAAAAGGUAUUGUUUUAUUGUUCUUUCUCUUUUCUCUAUUGGAACAAUAGCAUAUGAUGUUACAACUGUAUAUUGCAGAAAUCAUUUUUAAAACUUAUGAUUAUUUAAUGAACUUCCAAACCUCGAGUUCAGACUUCAGAGAUCCAACACAGAAAAUGGAUGCAAAAUCUUCAUUUUCCCUUGUUCUUUUCAUUGCACUAUCAAACCACAGUUUUAAAUUUGUGGUCAUAACCAAACCGCGGCUAUAUCUUGAACCAAAACUGUAUGUUAAACGUUAAAUUGAAACCGCGGCUUUAUCAUAUAGCCACAGUUUUGCAGUCAUGGCAAAUACAAACCGCGGCCUUAAUCAAGCUACCUAAACCGUGGCCUAACAAAGCUACGGUUGUCAAAAAGGCGUGGUCUAUACCAAAAAACCGUGGACUUUACUUUAGGCCACGGCCGCAUACUCCACAGUUGGAUUUCCGUGGCCAAACUGUGGCCUCAGCGUUACGCCACGGUUAUUUUGCAUAUAGCCUCGGUUUUCUGGGCGUGGCAGGAGGUCUUUUUUCCUGUAGUGAGAAGAAAGGCGUGAAAAAUGGUUUAAACAGUGGAAAUACGAGAAAAUUCGCAAGUCAUAUUUGGAAGGUGAUAUGAGCUAAGUUCCCGCGUUGUCUUGACUGUUUCGACGAUAUCUACAACUUUCGUGUUCGGCCCGGAAGCCAAUUCUUUGAGGAAGGUUGCCAGAUUUGCAAAUUACUUGAGGUUUCAUAGUGAAAAACAAUGCUGAAUGUAGGGUUUCGGACCUCGGAAAAUUCAUAUCUACCAAUCCGCUCGUCGGAUUCACUUGAAAAUUUAACUGGAGCUCCGUACCAUCAUUACCAAGAUUUCAUAUGUUCGGACCGAAGGCCAAUUAUGUACGGAAAAUUCCCAGAAUUUUAAGGAUUGUCGCGUUGUUUCGGUAAAAAGUGUGUUUUUGAGUAUGUCGCGCCGAGUUUGAAAAUUCAUAACUUCUUCGAUUUUUAUCGUAUGAAGUCCAUUCCGGAGGCAUUUUCUCGGAAAUUUCGUUAGCUUCGUUUCUUCGUCACACAUGCCCGUUCAGAUUUUGAGCCGAAGAUAGGGUUUCAUCGAGUUCUUUGAGCGGUACUCACAAAAUUCUGCACAGUCGCACCAGAUGAAUCGGCGUUUCUCGCCAUUCAAACGCGCGUAUUUUCUUCAUCGUUUAUCGGAUUGAGACGAUUCUCGCGGCAACGAGUCAAGAAUUUGGUCAUCUUCACAGUGGCAUUAGUUUCGUUUCAGAAUUCAGAGCCGAACCGAGUUUCCUUAAAAACGAGCCAAAAUGAGACGCACCGAGGGCAAUUUGGACAUUUUGCGUUAACAAUAUAUAAACAUUUUGCUCUUCACAAAUCAAAGGGAGAACUCUCACAAUUUCAAUUCACCAAUACUUCACCAACACAUUCUCUCAAUUCUCUCUCAAUUCUCUUGGAUCAAAACCACAAAUUACAUAAAACUUUCAUCAAUAUUCAUCAAAUUUCAUCAAGAUCAAGAACAUGGAUUGAGGAAUCAAGGAUCAAAGUUCGAAUUUCUCUUCCUAUCUCCACAUAGAGUGGCGCGCCUCUCUCUCUCUCCCUCAUUCCGGAUUUCGUUUUCGAGUUCGUGUCGUGUUCGCGUUCGUAUCGUGAUCGUGUUCGUGUUCGCGCUUCGGUUCGGAUCUUCAUCCGGUAAGCCUUGAACCUUGAAUUAAGUGCUUAAUUGUUGAUUAUAUGUGAAUUCAAAUCUAGAUCUACCUCUUGUUCUUGAUUAAUGGAUGAUUGAUGAUGAUUGAUCGGUGAAUUUGCGUAUUUUUUGCUCGAAUUGAUCGUGUUCAUGUGGAUUAUGUUUAGAAUUGAUGUUCAUUGCAUGUAAUUGAUAUCCGUUGAUGAUGAAUUGUGUUACUUGUGUUUGAAUCUGUGAUUUGUCGGUGAUUUUGUGUGUAUAAUUGUUGUUGAUAAUUUGUGUUGCUUGCGAUGUACUCAACGUGUUCGUAUAAAUGCAUAUGCCAUAUUCUCGAUUGAUAUUUGCUUUGUUUGACGCAUCGCACUUGGCAUAAUUGUUGACAUGUGGAUAGUUUGAUGUGUGAAUGCAUGUAUACCACGAUAUUUGAUGUUUGUUUGUGAUUAAUCUCGAGUUGGUACGUUUUUGGAUUGAGUGCGAAUGGCUCUAAGGUUCCAAAAUGUGCAAAAUUCUGUUUUUAUACGCCGGGAACCGGGUUGUCCCAGGCGGGAACCGGUUCCCACUCAAUCCAAAAUGGCCAUUCUCUGUGUUUUUGUACCAGGAACCGGGUUGUCCCUAGGUGGGAACCGGUUCCCAGCUUCCUGAAUUUUUGACUCUCUGGCUUUUUGUAUGGGGAACCAGGUUGUCCCUAGGUGGGAACCGGUUCCCAGCGUGCUAAUUUGGCCUUUCUCUGUGUUUUUGUACCAGGAACCGGGUUGUCCCUAGGUGGGAACCGGUUCCCAGUUUUCCAAAAUGUUGCCUCUCUGGUAUUUUGUACCAGGAACCGGGUUGUCCCUAGGUGGGAACCGGUUCCUGUGUGUUAUUUUUGUGUUUUAUUUUCUAACUUCAAACUUUCGUAUCUCUUUACUCGUAACUCCGAUUUGCAUGUUCUUUAUAUCGUUG
This is an RNA transcript of Vicia villosa (hairy vetch), 3628 nucleotides long. It is a transcript of the gene named pre-mRNA-splicing factor 38-like, with no coding region annotated. The record is from RefSeq and is a predicted model, not a curated record. The transcript has 4 exons. NCBI's taxonomy places the organism in Eukaryota, Viridiplantae, Streptophyta, Magnoliopsida, Fabales, Fabaceae.